RNAcentral lists this ribosomal RNA (497 nucleotides) under uncultured bacterium. Its description in RNAcentral is "partial 16S ribosomal RNA". It matches the Rfam family "Bacterial small subunit ribosomal RNA", at positions 28 to 507 of the family's 1533-position model. The record is from RNAcentral.
GAUGAACGCUGGCGGCGUGCCUAAUACAUGCAAGUCGAGCGAACAGACGAGGAGCUUGCUCCUCUGACGUUAGCGGCGGACGGGUGAGUAACACGUGGAUAACCUACCUAUAAGACUGGGAUAACUUCGGGAAACCGGAGCUAAUACCGGAUAAUAUAUUGAACCGCAUGGUUCAAUAGUGAAAUACGGUUUUGCUGUCACUUAUAGAUGGAUCCGCGCCGCAUUAGAUAGUUGGUAAGGUAACGGCUUACCAAGGCAACGAUGCGUAGCCGACCUGAGAGAGUGAUCGGCCACACUGGAGCUGAGACACGGUCCAGACUCCUACGGGAGGCAGCAGUAGGGAAUCUUCCGCAAUGGGCGGAAGCCUGACGGAGCAACGCCGCGUGAGUGAUGAAGGUCUUCGGAUCGGAAAACUCUGUUAUUAGUGAAGAACAAAUGUGUAAGUAACUAUGCACGUCUUGACGGUACCUAAUCAGAAAGCCACGGCUAACUACGUG